CAGCCGCCGCGGUAAUACGUAGGUGGCAAGCGUUGUCCGGAAUUAUUGGGCGUAAAGCGCGCGCAGGCGGAUAGGUUAGUCUGUCUUAAAAGUUCGGGGCUUAACCCCGCGAUGGGAUGGAAACUGCCAAUCUAGAGUAUCGGAGAGGAAAGUGGAAUUCCUAGUGUAGCGGUGAAAUGCGUAGAUAUUAGGAAGAACACCAGUGGCGAAGGCGACUUUCUGGACGAAAACUGACGCUGAGGCGCGAAAGCCAGGGGAGCGAACGGGAUUAGAUACCCCCGUAGUCCCUGUCUCUUAUACA
RNAcentral lists this ribosomal RNA (301 nucleotides) under uncultured bacterium. RNAcentral's name for it is "partial 16S ribosomal RNA". It matches the Rfam family "Bacterial small subunit ribosomal RNA", at positions 509 to 809 of the family's 1533-position model. The record is from RNAcentral.